AUGGCGCCCAUGAAGGUGUACGGCUGGGCGGUGUCACCAUGGAUGGCGCGGGUCCUCGUCUGGCUGGAGGAGGCCGGCGCCGAGUACGAGCUCGUGCCCAUGAGCCGCAACGACAGCGACCACCGCCGGCCGAAGCACCUCGCCAGAAACCCCUUCGGUGAGAUCCCGGUGCUGGAGGACGGCGAUCUCAUGCUUUACCAUAAGCCUUCACGAUUUUUGACUUCUUCUUUUCGAUUUAGUAGUUGUGAAUCCCGUGCCAUCGCAAGGCAUAUUCUCCGCAAGUACAAGCCUGAGCUUCUAGGAGCGGGCAGCCUUCAGGAGUCAGCGAUGGUGGAUGUAUGGGUCGACGUGGAUGCCCACCAGCUCGAGCCCGUACUCAAGCCCAUCGUGGUGAACUGCAUCAUCAACCCGUUCGUCGGUAGGGACGUUGAACAGGGCAUCGUCGAUGAGAGCGUCCAGAAGCUGAAGAAGCUGUUGGAGGUGUAUGAGGCGAGGCUGUCAAGCAACAAGUAUCUGGCCGGUGAUUCCAUAAGCUUCGCCGACCUCACCCAUUUCAACUUUAUGCGCUACUUCAUGGCGACAAAGCACGCGGUCGUGCUCGACGCAUACCCGCACGCCAAGGCAUGGUGGGAGGCAUUGUUGGCAAGGCCAUCCGUCAAGAAGGUGAUAGCUGGCAUGCCUCCGGAUUUCGGAUUCGGGAGCAGGAGAAUACCAUGA
Molecule: ribosomal RNA, 717 nt
Filed under: Triticum aestivum (bread wheat)
Lineage: Eukaryota; Viridiplantae; Streptophyta; Magnoliopsida; Poales; Poaceae
Description: partial small subunit ribosomal RNA
Source: RNAcentral